RNAcentral lists this transfer RNA (69 nucleotides) under Potos flavus (kinkajou). RNAcentral's name for it is "tRNA-Ala". It matches the Rfam family "tRNA". From Rfam's summary of the family: Transfer RNA (tRNA) molecules are approximately 80 nucleotides in length. Their secondary structure includes four short double-helical elements and three loops (D, anti-codon, and T loops). Further hydrogen bonds mediate the characteristic L-shaped molecular structure. tRNAs have two regions of fundamental functional importance: the anti-codon, which is responsible for specific mRNA codon recognition, and the 3' end, to which the tRNAs corresponding amino acid is attached (by aminoacyl-tRNA synthetases). tRNAs cope with the degeneracy of the genetic code in two manners: having more than one tRNA (with a specific anti-codon) for a particular amino acid; and 'wobble' base-pairing, i.e. permitting non-standard base-pairing at the 3rd anti-codon position. The record is from RNAcentral. Lineage: Eukaryota; Metazoa; Chordata; Mammalia; Carnivora; Procyonidae.
AAGGACUUAGCUUAAUUAAAGUAGUUGAUUUGCAUUCAAUUGAUGUAAGGUGUAUCCUUGCAGUCCUUA